CUCGGUCAACAUUCCGGAACUCUCUGAGACAAGACCACUAUGUAAAAGGGGGGAAGAUCCCCCUCUAAAUCUCUCCUUUCCAAAUGGGCUGAAAAAAGAAACUGAGUUUGAGUAUUGAAUUAAUGGAUGUUUAUGACCAGCAGAUUCGAGUAGAUUCUGAUGUACAGCUAAUGUGUGCCACUUACCCACCCAGCAAGUGGCAUUAGUGCAGUGCUCCUCCAUUUCCCAGCAGUGCACACGAACCCUCGGUUGCCCAGAACUCAGUGCUUCUGGAGGCUUGCUCAACUGAGGCACACUUUGCACCUGAAGCUGAAUCGGGCCCCGAUUGGCUCUACUUCUGCUUAUCUCUCCGGGUUGCUCCACACCCUCUGCCCGCCGGCGCUGGUCACAUGCUUGUCCUGCUCGACUGGCCUGGACCACACCCCGUCCUACAUACCUGCUCCUCACCUGCACUGUACCGAGUGACACUUUCCACCUGAGAGCAGACUUCCUACUCACACCAUCGCCACUAAAUCUCUGCAAAAUAAAAGCAAGAGCAUCCGGUGAAUACGAAAUCAGCCGUCUAGGCCCACGCGGUGUCUGCGGAGCUUCAGUGGGUGCUCCACACCCAUGGACAACAUAACAAAAAGGAGAGCCAGAACAAAGCCCGACAAUUACAGUAAGAAAGAAUUCAUCGCUGUGGGGCAAGGUGGACAGCACAGAGCCACGCUCAUCUUACACGGCUCUCACACAGACUGGCAAAAGGCAUCCAGCCCAUCAGGAGCCUCUGAGAGGAAACAGGAUGGGGAAUUCCAAACAAAGAGACAGACAACGAGUUGCUGGCCGCUCCAUUAUGGCCUUGUUUGCUCCUUGUAUGCAGGAUCAUCCAUACAAUAAAAGCGAAAUUAAAAGUUCUCAGAUGUGCGGCACUGUUGGCACAUGCUGCUAGCGUACGCAUAUUCUCUCCGCCCCCGGAUGGAUUGAAGAUACCACCUUCACUUGGGAGUGAAGGCCAGAGAGGAGAAAACGUGAGGGGAUGCCUUCUGCCUAUCGGUGAGGUGCAGUUGUUUUCAAUAGCAUUAGCUGCUGUUGUACAAUGCAUUUUAAAUGUUUAAACUGCUAUAUAUGUGUCACAAAAUGGGGUAAACACUUGAAUAUCAUUUACAAACAACAAUAACAACAACAAAAAGAUUUAUCCUCAUGAUGUUCCAAAACCAAAUGCCAUUCUUUCUUCUGUGAAACACACAAAA
Long non-coding RNA from Cyprinus carpio carpio, 1229 nucleotides. The record is from Ensembl. NCBI's taxonomy places the organism in Eukaryota, Metazoa, Chordata, Actinopteri, Cypriniformes, Cyprinidae.